RNAcentral lists this ribosomal RNA (438 nucleotides) under uncultured bacterium. RNAcentral describes it as "partial 16S ribosomal RNA". It matches the Rfam family "Bacterial small subunit ribosomal RNA", at positions 339 to 795 of the family's 1533-position model. The record is from RNAcentral.
CUACGGGGCGCAGCAGUGAGGAAUAUUGCACAAUGGGGGGAACCCUGAUGCAGCAACGCCGCGUGGAGGAUGACGCAUUUCGGUGUGUAAACUCCUUUUAUAUGUCAAGAAAAUGACGGUAGCAUAUGAAUAAGCACCGGCUAACUCCGUGCCAGCAGCCGCGGUAAUACGGAGGGUGCAAGCAUUACUCGGAAUCACUGGGCGUAAAGGACGCGUAGGCGGGUUGGAAAGUCAGGUGUGAAAUCCUACAGCUUAACUGUAGAACUGCACUUGAAACUUCUAAUCUAGAGUAUGGGAGGGGGAGAUGGAAUUAGUGGUGUAGGGGUAAAAUCCGUAGAUAUCACUAGGAAUACCUAAAGCGAAGGCGAUCUCCUGGAACAUUACUGACGCUAAGGCGUGAAAGCGUGGGGAGCAAACAGGAUUAAUACCCCGGUAGUC